GGGGGUAUGGUGGAAUUGGCAGACACGUUAGAUUUAGGAUCUAAUGCCGAAAGGCGUGCAGGUUCGAGUCCUGUUACCCCUA
Molecule: transfer RNA, 82 nt
Filed under: Crocinitomicaceae bacterium
Lineage: Bacteria; Pseudomonadati; Bacteroidota; Flavobacteriia; Flavobacteriales; Crocinitomicaceae
Description: tRNA-Leu
Rfam family: tRNA
About the family: Transfer RNA (tRNA) molecules are approximately 80 nucleotides in length. Their secondary structure includes four short double-helical elements and three loops (D, anti-codon, and T loops).
Source: RNAcentral